UUCGCCUGGAUACUACGAGCACUAGCUUAAAACCCAAAGGACCUGACGGUGUCUUAGAUCCCCCUAGAGGAGCCUGUCCUAGAACCGAUAAUCCCCGUUAAACCUCACCAUUUCUCGUUAACAUCAGCCUAUAUACCGCCGUCGCCAGCUUACCCUUUGAAGGAACAAAAGUAAGCAAAAGGGGCACAGCCCAAAACGUCAGGUCGAGGUGUAGCAUAUGAAAUGGGAUGAGAUGGGCUACAUUUUCUAAUACAGAACAUUUACGAACACGCAACAUGAAACACGUGCCAGAAGGAGGAUUUAGUAGUAAAGGGGAA
RNAcentral lists this ribosomal RNA (317 nucleotides) under Luciosoma sp. LR-2007. Its description in RNAcentral is "partial 12S ribosomal RNA". It matches the Rfam family "Bacterial small subunit ribosomal RNA", at positions 868 to 1348 of the family's 1533-position model. Lineage: Eukaryota; Metazoa; Chordata; Actinopteri; Cypriniformes; Danionidae. The record is from RNAcentral.